This 611-nucleotide ribosomal RNA is filed under the name uncultured bacterium. RNAcentral's name for it is "bacterial SSU rRNA". It matches the Rfam family "Bacterial small subunit ribosomal RNA", at positions 28 to 603 of the family's 1533-position model. The record is from RNAcentral.
GACGAACGCUGGCGGCGUGCUACUACAUGCUAAGUCGUACGCUUCUUUUCUAUCGAGUGCUUGCACUCACCAGAAAAGAGGAGUGGCGAACGGGUGAGUAACACGUGGGUAACCUGCCCUUCAGAGGGGGAUAACACUUGGAAACAGGUGCUAAUACCGCAUAACAAUCGAAACCGCCUGGUUUUGAUUUGAAAGACGCUUUCGGGUGUCACUGAAGGAUGGACCCGCGGUGCAUUAGCUAGUUGGUGAGGUAACGGCUCACCAAGGCCACGAUGCAUAGCCGACCUGAGAGGGUGAUCGGCCACACUGGGACUGAGACACGGCCCAGACUCCUACGGGAGGCAGCAGUAGGGAAUCUUCGGCAAUGGACGAAAGUCUGACCGAGCAACGCCGCGUGAGUGAAGAAGAUUUUCGGAUCGUAAAACUCUGUUGUUAGAGAAGAACAAGGGUGAGAGUAGAAUGUUCACCCCUUGGACGGUAUCUAACCAGAAAAGCCACGGACUAACUACGUGCCAGCAGCCGCGGUAAUACGUAGGUGGACAAGCGUUGUCCGGAUUUAUUGGGCGUAAAGCGAGCGCAGGCGGGCCAUUUAAAGUCUGAUGUGAAAGCCC